Molecule: ribosomal RNA, 465 nt
Filed under: uncultured bacterium
Lineage: Bacteria
Description: partial 16S ribosomal RNA
Rfam family: Bacterial small subunit ribosomal RNA
Source: RNAcentral
GACGAACGCUGGCGGCGUGCUUAACACAUGCGAGUCGAACGGAAAGGCCCUGCUUGCAGGGUACUCGAGUGGCGAACGGGUGAGUAACACGUGGGUGAUCUGCCCUGCACUUCGGGAUAAGCCUGGGAAACUGGGUCUAAUACCGGAUAGGAGCCAUUUUUAGUGUGAUGGUUGGAAAGUUUUUUCGGUGUAGGAUGAGCUCGCGGCCUAUCAGCUUGUUGGUGGGGUAAUGGCCUACCAAGGCGGCGACGGGUAGCCGGCCUGAGAGGGUGGACGGCCACAUUGGGACUGAGAGACGGCCCAGACUCCUACGGGAGGCAGCAGGGGGGAAUAUUGCACAAUGGGCGCAAGCCGGAUGCAGCGACGCCGCGUGGGGGAUGACGGCCUUCGGGUUGUAAACUCCUUUCGCUAGGGACGAAGCUUUUUGUGACGGUACCUAGAUAAGAAGCACCGGCUAACUACGUG